This 1251-nucleotide long non-coding RNA is filed under the name Amphibalanus amphitrite. Its description in RNAcentral is "uncharacterized LOC122379242". The record is from RNAcentral. Lineage: Eukaryota; Metazoa; Arthropoda; Thecostraca; Balanomorpha; Balanidae.
CUUAAAGGAAAAGUGCCACCUUCUUGAAAUAUGAAGAUAUCGUUGGUUUUUAUUUUGACAUUAUUAUUUUCCAUUUUCUUUUCAAAACCGGUGCCAGAAGUGCAUAAUUCGCUAAAAAGUAUUUCAAACUAUUUAACAUAUUGGUACUAUGUUUAUACUCUCUACCGCAGCUACUGUAUGAUGUCAUAGCAAUGACGUCACACUCAAGCCAAUCAGCCUUGAGGAGGAUAGACUCGUCGGACUGUAGCGGUUGUAAACAACUUGUCGCCCCGUGUGUCUGCCCGUGGCGCUAGUUAUCUGUCGAAGUUACCACUGACAAUGCCCAAAACAAGAACAACAAAGGCCCAAAGGUGGCUGUUUGGUAGUGCGCAAAGCUGCUGGUGGUGGUGGACGUCUCUGCCCUGACGCGCGGCGUGCGUCUGCUCAGUGUGGAGGUGCCGCUGACAGCGGUGCCGGCCGGACCGGCUGCCUCUCCGGCGGCCGACAUUGAGCGCGGCACGUGUCCGCCGCCGUUCGGGCCGCUGCAGCUGCUGCAGUCGGCGGCGCAGCUGUCCGUCUCCGUGUCGCUGGCCGUGCCGCUGGACCUGCUGCCGCGGCCGGCGCCGGCGCGCUGCGCCUACGGCCGCCUGCUGGCCGUCGUCUCGCAGCGCGGCCUGCAGCGCAGCGGCGUGCUGCAGCUCAUCCAGCAGCUCAACGAGCCGCCCAGCCCGGCGGCGGCCGAGGGCGCCGCGCCGCGCCGGCCCGGCGACGUCAGCACACCUGGCAUCAGCGGCUUCUGCCUGGUCGACCGUCAGCUGCACCUGCUGUUCGCCGAGGGGCGCGCCGACGCCGAGCUGGAACAGACGGCGGCCGCGCCGCGCGCUCUGCCGCGCCGCGACGCUCGACUCUGCCACCACUCGGGCUUCUGUUUAGGGAGCGCCUGUACCCGCGCCAGCCGGCCGCGUUCCGCGUGCUCGAGGACCGCCCGCUACGCGCCCAGCUGCUCGACACCCGCCUCUACACGUUACAGAAACAGGAGCCGGCGCGCGCCGUCCGCGCCAUCAGAGAGUGCUUCCGCACGCAGUGGCUGUCGGAAAAUGAACCUGCUUCCCAACGAGGCCGGCCUGCAACAACUGCUGGCCGGCUGUUGGCCGAAAAAAAAAACGCCUUCAACCGGAUGUCAGUUGUCAAAUCAACGCGUAUUAAUGCAUUCACUAGGAUGGGCUUACGUAAAGCUGUAGAAUUGCAAAUAUAUAAUGGCACUGUUUUUGA